ACCGGCUUGUCCGGUUACCGGUCGAACCAUUUGUUGCGUUGCUGGUGCAGAAGCUGGAGCUGGAACUUGUGGAGGCGCGUGGUAGACGGUGGCCGGAGCAUGUCCUUGUGCUGGGAUCAUGUAGACUGGAUGUUCAGAGUGCGGAGGUGGGCCGGGGUUUGUAGUUAUGGUUGCAGGGAAACCUCCGGCGGAAAUUGGUUUAUCCGACCAGAAUCCAGCUGUAGCUGGCACAUGUUGUUGGAAAGUUACCGGUAUGUUCACCGGCGGUGCUUUUUCAGGCAUCUUCUGUGCGUAGUAUUCCCCAGUAUAAGCCAUGGAAGCAGCGUCUUCAGUCUUCUUUCGAUACAUAGCGAGCUGUUCUUGAUCCCGAAUUUGAAGUCUUUGCAAUUCCUGUAACUGUCUCUGAAUUUCAACGGGAUUCAAAACAUGAUCUGUCCCCACGACUUCCGGUAUCGGAGGCGGAGGUGGGUUCACCGGUUCCACCACGGGAUCACGGAUUUUCACCGGCGGAGGUUGAGGCAUCCCCUUUUCAAUCCCAAACAAGAAAUCCACAUUGUUUGGUGGAAUCACAACUCCACCCGGAGUCGUGCCGGAAUUUAAUGCCUCUACGAAC
Molecule: long non-coding RNA, 613 nt
Filed under: Gossypium barbadense (sea-island cotton)
Lineage: Eukaryota; Viridiplantae; Streptophyta; Magnoliopsida; Malvales; Malvaceae
Description: long non-coding RNA (GBAR_LNC002744)
Source: RNAcentral